This 147-nucleotide ribosomal RNA is filed under the name uncultured eukaryote. RNAcentral describes it as "partial 18S ribosomal RNA". It matches the Rfam family "Eukaryotic small subunit ribosomal RNA", at positions 1299 to 1458 of the family's 1831-position model. The record is from RNAcentral.
UGGUGGAGUGAUUUGUCUGGUUAAUUCCGAUAACGAACGAGACCUCCGCCUGCUAAAUAGUCACGUGGUGCCCUUGCGGCACCCACGUCUUUUGACUUCUUAGAGGGACUAUGGGCGGUAAGCUCAUGGAAGUUGGAGGCAAUAACA